This 1759-nucleotide long non-coding RNA is filed under the name Coturnix japonica (Japanese quail). Its description in RNAcentral is "lncRNA (ENSCJPG00005000173.1)". Lineage: Eukaryota; Metazoa; Chordata; Aves; Galliformes; Phasianidae. The record is from RNAcentral.
CCCCAACCCUCAUAGCCUGCCCUACAACCAGCUCCCAUAACAACCUCACACCCCACACCACCCGCACCCGCAUAUAACGCAGACCCAUACACUCCACCCCACAACCAUCUCCAACCCCACAACUACCUACAACCCCAGCCCUACAACCCCCAGCCCCCAACCCCCCGCCACCCAUAACCAGCCCCACAACUGCGCCCCAUCCAUGGCCACAUCGUUCUGCCCCACAACCACCUCCAGCCGCAUAUCACCAGCCCCAUCAACCACCACCUGGCCCCAUAACAACCUCAACCCACAACCAGCCCCAACCACCACCCACCCCAAAUACCAUCUGCCCACAACACAAGCCCCAACAACUGACCCCCAUCCCAUCCAAUGUCUGACCCCAUAACCAACCCCAUAACCACCCCCAGCCCCACAACCAGCCCCAACAACCUGACGCCCAUAACCAGCCCACAACCCCCCCAGCCCCAUAACCCCCCAGCCCCACAACAGCCCCCAACCCCCCAGCCCCAUUACAUUCAAUCCUAUACGACGGCUCCUCACUCCGUUACCUGGACCAACGUUCCCUCCCAUCCCGUGUCCGUUACCUUCCCGUCCCCGACGUCCCCCUCGGCCUACGGCCGCCCAUCGUUUCUAUGGGGGUCCGUGGGGCCCCCAACAUCCGCGGUGCUGGGGGGCCUGGCCGUGGCCAUGGAGCUCAGGGGGGGCGGGGACCCCCAAUGGUGGAUCUAUUGGGAUUUAAUGGGGGUUUUUAAAUGAGAGGAUGAGAUGUGACCAGAGCCAGACCACGGCCGUCCAAUGUGGGGAGGGAGGCGGAAAGGAUCAAGGAGAGAGGACGAUGGGGGAAACGGAAGCCGGGAUUGACGGACAAGGAGCGAGGGAAAGGUAUGGGGGAUAUAUGGGGGGAUAUGGGGGGAUAGGGGUUAUAUAUGGAUAUCAUGGGUUCUAUGGCGGUUAUAUGGGGGGAUUGGGGUUAUAUGGGGUGAUAGGGGGGGAUCGGGGCUAUGGGGUUAUAUGGGGGGAUAUGGGGGUGGGUAUGGGGGGGGUAAUGGGUGGGUAAUGGGGGAUAUGGGGUGAUUAUGGGGUAUGGGUGGGUAUGGGGUGAUAUGGGUGGGUAUGGGGGGAUAUGGGUUAUAUGGGGGGAUAUGGUGAUUAUGGGGGGAUUGGGUUAUAUGGGGGGACUGGGGUUAUCAUGGGGGAUAAUGGGGUGGGUAUGGGGUUUCUAUGGGGUAUAAUGGGGUGGUAUGGGGUAUAUGGGAAUAUAUGGGGAUAUAGGGUUAUAUAGGGGGGCUAUAGGGUUAUAUGGGGGGGCUAUAGGGUUAUAUGGGGGGAUAUGGGGGUUUCUAUGGGGUUAUAAUGGGGGAUAUGGGGUUAUAUGGGGGGAUAUGGGGUUCUAUGGGGGGUUUAUGGGUGAUAUGGGGUUAUAUGGGGGGAUAUGGGGUGAUAUGGGCGUUAUAUGGGGGGAUAAAUGGGGGGAUAUGGGGGGAUAGGAUCAAAGGGAUGAUGAGGAGAUGGGGGGAAACUGAGCCGGGAUUGACGGACAAGGAGCUGAGGGAAAGGUAUGGGGGGAUAUAUGGGAUUAUAUGGGGGGAUAUGGGGUUAUAUGGGGUGAUAUGGGGGGAUAUGGGGUUAUGGGGGGGAUAUGGGGUGAUAUGGGGUUAUAUGGGGUAAUAUGGGGGGAUUAUAGGGUUAUGGGGUUAUAUAUGGGGUUAUAUGGGGGGAUAUGGGGGUUAUAUAUGGGGUUAUAUGGGAUUAUAUG